This 212-nucleotide unclassified non-coding RNA is filed under the name fungal sp. RNAcentral's name for it is "partial internal transcribed spacer region". The stretch from base 1 to 46 matches the Rfam family "Eukaryotic small subunit ribosomal RNA", at positions 1786 to 1831 of the family's 1831-position model. Lineage: Eukaryota; Fungi. The record is from RNAcentral.
AAGUCGUAACAAGGUUUCCGUAGGUGAACCUGCGGAAGGAUCAUUAAUGUGACUCUGCAUCAAGUGUGUGGAGGCAUUCCUUGUGCUGUGUAUUGGUUGUAUGUUCUGCCCGCAUGCAAUGCGUGGCGAGUUCAUGUUUUACUCGUAUUACCGUAUUUCUUAUUGUACAUUUAAACAAUCGAAAACUGCCAGCAAUGGAUCACUCGGUUCUC